GCCAGCAUGGUGUAAUGGUUUAGGCAUUAGACUUCAGUUCUGGAGACCAAGGUUCAAGUCCCUGCUUGGCC
Molecule: non-coding RNA, 71 nt
Organism: Phrynosoma platyrhinos (Desert horned lizard)
Lineage: Eukaryota; Metazoa; Chordata; Lepidosauria; Squamata; Phrynosomatidae
Source: the annotation of a GenBank genome assembly